CAGCCGCCACGGUAAUACGUAGGUCCCGAGCGUUGUCCGGAUUUAUUGGGCGUAAAGCGAGCGCAGGCGGUUAGAUAAGUCUGAAGUUAAAGGCUGUGGCUUAACCAUAGUACGCUUUGGAAACUGUUUAACUUGAGUGCAAGAGGGGAGAGUGGAAUUCCAUGUGUAGCGGUGAAAUGCGUAGAUAUAUGGAGGAACACCGGUGGCGAAAGCGGCUCUCUGGCUUGUAACCGACGCUGAGGCUCGAAAGCGUGGGGAGCAAACAGGAUUAGAUACCCGGGUAGUCCCUGUCUCUUAUACC
This 301-nucleotide ribosomal RNA is filed under the name uncultured bacterium. Its description in RNAcentral is "partial 16S ribosomal RNA". It matches the Rfam family "Bacterial small subunit ribosomal RNA", at positions 509 to 808 of the family's 1533-position model. The record is from RNAcentral.